RNAcentral lists this ribosomal RNA (256 nucleotides) under uncultured bacterium. Its description in RNAcentral is "partial 16S ribosomal RNA". It matches the Rfam family "Bacterial small subunit ribosomal RNA", at positions 524 to 778 of the family's 1533-position model. The record is from RNAcentral.
UACGUAGGGGGCAAGCGUUGUCCGGAUUCAUUGGGCGUAAAGAGCGUGUAGGCGGCCUGAAAGGUCAGCUGUGAAAACUCGAGGCUCAACCUCGAGACGUCGGUUGAAACCGUUUGGCUAGAGUCCGGAAGAGGAGAGUGGAAUUCCCGGUGUAGCGGUGAAAUGCGCAGAUAUCGGGAAGAACACCCGUGGCGAAGGCGGCUCUCUGGGACGGUACUGACGCUGAGACGGCGAAAGCGUGGGGAGCGAACGAGAG